GUUCCCCUGCUAUGUUCGUGAUUAGCGGAAGAUUUUUGAGCUAACGCUAAGGAGAAAGGGAGUUCCCCCUGGCCUUUGUGUGUCUCUUUACCUGCUGAAGAAGACCUAAUGGGGUAAUGGAACGCCCACCUUGUGAGGAUCAGGUUCAAAAAGAGCCGCUAACACGGCAUUAGAGCGGGGGGACA
This 185-nucleotide non-coding RNA is filed under the name Desulfobacterales bacterium. RNAcentral's name for it is "6S RNA". It matches the Rfam family "6S / SsrS RNA". From Rfam's summary of the family: E. coli 6S RNA was the first non coding RNA to be sequenced, but its function was unknown until recently. The record is from RNAcentral. Lineage: Bacteria; Pseudomonadati; Thermodesulfobacteriota; Desulfobacteria; Desulfobacterales.